CACCGGCGGCUCGAGUGGUGGCCACUUUUAUUGGGUCUAAAGCGUCCGUAGCCGGCUUGGCAAGUCCCCCGGGAAAUCUGGCGGCUUAACCGUCAGGCGUCCAGAGGAUACUGCCAGGCUUGGGACCGGGAGAGGUGAGAGGUACCUCAGGGGUAGGGGUGAAAUCUUGUGAUCCCUGAGGGACCACCAGUGGCGAAGGCGUCUCACUAGAACGGGUCCGACGGUCAGGGACGAAAGCUGGGGGCACGAACCGG
RNAcentral lists this ribosomal RNA (254 nucleotides) under uncultured microorganism. Its description in RNAcentral is "partial 16S ribosomal RNA". It matches the Rfam family "Archaeal small subunit ribosomal RNA", at positions 474 to 727 of the family's 1478-position model. The record is from RNAcentral.